AUGUUCCCCAUGUUCCAGGAGCUUGCACCACACGACCCACACGACAAGUGUGGUCACCACUAUGCGAUCUGUCUUGACCUGAAGAACCAACGCUUUGAGGUGCUUGAUUCAAUUCGUUCGGUAGUUGAUGCAGACCUUACUACGCACGCUGAAUUCUUCAUCAACAACCUCAAAGAGACAUGGAACCGUCACUACGAAAACUCAAAGGUCCAGAUCAGACAUUUCCCGAUUGAGUACGUGGCGACCACGAAUCAAGGGAACACGACGGACUGUGGCUUUCACUCAUUGGAAUAUUUUGCAAAGUGGGAAGGUAGACUUGUUCCCGUCGUCACAGCUGCAACGGUCAUUGAGCUCCGGAAAAUUUACACAUGGAACUGGUUGACGAAUGAAGAUUUCAACAAGUGGUCCGGAGCACGCGAGUUCGUGGAGGAUGCUGUCAAGAAAGUCAUCAAGAAGUACAAGUGA
This 465-nucleotide ribosomal RNA is filed under the name Triticum aestivum (bread wheat). RNAcentral describes it as "partial small subunit ribosomal RNA". The record is from RNAcentral. Lineage: Eukaryota; Viridiplantae; Streptophyta; Magnoliopsida; Poales; Poaceae.